This 1675-nucleotide ribosomal RNA is filed under the name metagenome. RNAcentral describes it as "bacterial LSU rRNA". It matches the Rfam family "Bacterial large subunit ribosomal RNA", at positions 1231 to 2925 of the family's 2925-position model. The record is from RNAcentral.
GGGGAGCAUUGCAUGCAGCGGAGAAGCAUGACCGAGAGGGCAUGUGGAGCGCAUGGAAGAGAGAAUGCCGGCGUGAGUAGCGGCACGUGGGUGAGAAUCCCACGCACCGAUGGCCCAAGGUCUCCAGAGGAAGGCUCGUCCUCUCUGGGAUAGUCGGGACCUAAGGCGAGGCCGAAAGGCGUAGCCGACGGACGACGGGUGGAUAUUCCCGUACCCGAUGUGUGGCGAUGGAGUGACGGAGAAGGCUCAGGCAACCAGCUGCUGGAAUAGCUGGGGCAAGCGAGAUACCUGCGCACCAGGGAAAUCCGGUGCGCGCAAGGGGAAGGCGCGAAGCAUACGGAAAGCUGCGGCAAGUACGGAAAAGCUGAGAGCAGGCUUCCAGGAAAAGCUUCUAGCACAACACGCAUCGGCCCGUACCGAAAAUGGACACACAUGGGCAAGGAGAGAAUCCUGAGGUGAGCGAGAGAACUAUAGCUAAGGAACUCUGCAAAAUGACCCCGUAACUUAGGGAGAAGGGGUGCUCCAGAAAUGGAGCCGCAGUAAAACGGCCCGAGCGACUGUUUACCAAAAACACAGCUCUCUGCGAAGGCGCAAGCCGAAGUAUAGGGGGUGACGCCUGCCCGGUGCUGGAAGGUCAAGGGGAGCUGUCAGCGCAAGCGAAGCAGCGAGCCGAAGCCCCAGUAAACGGCGGCCGUAACGAUAACGGUCCUAAGGUAGCGAAAUUCCUUGUCGGGCAAGUUCCGACCCGCACGAAAGGCGUAACGAUUUGGGCGCUGUCUCAGCUGUAGACUCGGUGAAGUCUUAGUACCUGUGAAGAUGCAGGUUGCCCGCGACUAGACGGAAAGACCCCAUGGAGCUUCACUGCAGGUUGACAUUGGGCUUGGAUGCAUGAUGUACAGGAUAGGUGGGAGGCUGUGAGCCGUGCGCGCCAGCGUACGGGGAGCCGCUGUUGGGAUACCACCCUUCAUGCAUCUAGGUCCUAACCGGAGGCAACGGGCCACGGGACAGUGUCAGUCGGGCAGUUUGACUGGGGCGGUCGCCUCCCAAAGAGUAACGGAGGCGCCCAAAGAUACCCUCAGCAUGGAUGGAAACCAUGCAUAGAGUGCAAAGGCAUAAGGGUGUCUGACUGCGAGACAUACAGGUCGAGCAGGGACGAAAGUCGGGCUUAGUGAUCCGGCGGAUCCGAAUGGAAGGGCCGUCGCUCAACGGAUAAAAGCUACCCUGGGGAUAACAGGCUGAUCUCCCCAAAGAGUUCACAUCGACGGGGAGGUUUGGCACCUCGAUGUCGGCUCAUCGCAUCCUGGAGCUGAAGUCGGUUCCAAGGGUUGGGCUGUUCGCCCAUUAAAGCGGUACGCGAGCUGGGUUCAGAACGUCGUGAGACAGUUCGGUCCCUAUCUGUCGUGGGCGCAGGAGGUUUGAGGAGAGCUGCCCCUAGUACGAGAGGACCGGGGUGGACGGACCGAUGGUGCACCAGUUGUCACGCCAGUGGCACAGCUGGGCAGCCAAGUCCGGACGGGAUAAGCGCUGAAGGCAUCUAAGCGUGAAGCCCCCUCCAAGAUGAGACCUCCCAUUGGCGACAAGUAAGGCCCCUCGAAGACGACGAGGUUGAUAGGCCGCGAGUGCAAGCGCAGCGAUGUGCUUAGCGGGGCGGUACUAAUAGGCCGAGGACUUGGCC